Molecule: long non-coding RNA, 21294 nt
Organism: Cavia porcellus (domestic guinea pig)
Lineage: Eukaryota; Metazoa; Chordata; Mammalia; Rodentia; Caviidae
Exons: 5
Source: RefSeq, a predicted model, not a curated record
UAAAAUUUCAUAUUUUUAUAUUCCAUUAUAAGGAAAUGUCUGUCAUUUUUUGUGAUGAAUAUAAAUACCAUUUUCUUUAUAGAUGCCGUCUUAAUGAAGUUAUCCCACAAUUUAUUUAAUCAAAUCCGUGCUGUUUGCUAAAUUGUAAUUCUAGUUUUUCAUUAUGAAAUGGGAAAAUUAAGGAGCUUAAUCAGAGGGAGUAUGUGGUAGGGCAAACAGCAUAGGUAAGAGGAUUUGUGGGUUUUUUCUUCCCUAGUUUCAAAAAUUGUUUCAUAACAAAGAAAGUCGCAUUCUUUAAUUUCUGUAGACCUGAACAUUCUUUUCUUGUCAAUGAUAGGUGCUUGUUUUCAUUUAGCUGUUGAUGACUGAAGUUGAGGAAUUGGGAAGACAAUUAGUCCAAAGCAGGCUUGCUUAAAUCUGGCUCCAUUUCAGUACCGCUCCCUUCUAUCUCCUUUCCCCUCUGGAUUAAAUCACCAAGAAGUCUCGGUGCAUUUUGCAAUAAUCUUGAAGUCAUUUCUUUUUCAAAAUGCUGAAGAUUUUAAGAUACUGAAGUGCUUUAGAAAACAACCACUGUACAUUUUUAACAUGCUUCUCACUCAUAAGAAUUAUAAAAAUAAUUGCCCAUUAUCUGUGAAUAUAUGUUCUUAGCUCUCAGAGCAUAAAUUUCACUUCAUAAUUAUUUUCCAGAGAAGCAAGUAUCUAUUUGUUACUGAAUUUUCAGGAUAAAAACCUAGUGGCAAAUUUUACCAGAUAUAUGGACUGAUUCACACAGAAACAUAAAGAUUAUUUUUGUGUAAAAAGAACUUCUGGUAUUUUCUGAGCUUAGUGAUAUUUUAAUUUUUGCAUAUAAAGGGAAGGAGGAUGCAGCCCCUCUUUAGUGAAAUCUCCCAAUGCCCAAAGGGAGUUAAAUUUCCUUUCGUGGGUAGCCUAAACCUUAUAUAGGAUUCAAACUUUGUACUCAUUACGCUGCUCAUAUCAUUUCUUUUUAUGUCUACAAAGAUUCCACUUAAGGUUAGUGUAAUUAUGUGCAGCUCUACCAUGAGAGUCAUGACUGUGGAGAUGUGUACAAUGUGCAAUUGUCUGUUUCCCUCAAGAAAUAAUCAGAACCUUGGCUGAAAUAAUUAUUUGAGUUAUAAUCUUUUUUUUUUUUUUUUGCCUGCCCACCACUGAGAAGAGAACCUGGCUCUUGAGAGCUGUUCUUUAUUUUCUUUUGAACAAAUGAAAGAAGGAUUGUGUCAUAGUCAAGCCACAUUUCUGUUUCUUCAGACUGUAUAGAAGUAGUUGGUUUCCUCAAGUAAAGAAUUUGGAAAUCCAUUUCUCAAAUACCUUUGGCUAGAUGCGUAGGUGAUUAAACAGAUAUAUUGUGUCUUUUUAAUUAUUAAUGUGAAGCGAUAUUUUCUAAAGUGUGUUUUGUGGAAUAUUAGUAUUGCAAGAUAUACUUAAAGAACUUUGAGAAGCAUACCUUUGUUGGAAAUGAGCAUAUUAAAUUAACAUACUAAAAGUUCUGAGAAAUAAGUUUCUUUUUUGCUAUACAAUUUAAAAGUUUUCUAAAUAUGUGACUGCAUCUAUUUUUAAUCUAAUUAUCUCUAUCUGUUCAUCUAUCUAUCUUUUAUUUAUUUUUAAAAGUAAUCAACAUAGUAUAAUACUUGAAGUUUUGGCUUUGCUAAACUAGGCAGGCCUGGAUAGAGCUUCAUCUCUGAAAUUCACUUGUAUGGCCUUUAACAAAUAAUUAACCAUUAGCAAAUAAUUACUUUAGGCUUCAGUUUUAUCUCCUGUCAAUUUAUUUAAUGGCAAUAACUUUCUCAAAAGAUGAUUGUGGGCUUUACAUGAGCUAUUAUAUAGAAAGUUCAUACACAAUGCAUGGUACAUGCUAAAUAUUCACUCAUAGUUUGCUAUUAUUAGUUAUGUUUAUUCUUUAAUGUACACCUUAGAAGACGCCGAGCCUCAGGUAGGUGUAGGAAGUGUUGCUAUACUUUGUUCUUUUCUUAUAUUUGUAUCAUCCUCAUGUUAACUUGUGCAUGUUUUUAGUACUUUGUUUUUGAUGGAAAUAUUUUAAGAAAAAGAAGAUACAUUUAAAACAACAGCAAAGGUGAUGAAGGAUCUAGAAGUUCUAGAGUGUAUUUUCUUUGAAAAAUAGAAUUUAAUAAAGAAUUAUAAAGUGAAAAAUUUACUAGACUUCUGCAUAACUCCAGGAGGUGUAAUGAGUAUCUAUGGAUAAGACAUACACAGUGCUGUUAACAUAAGGAAUGAUUUGUUAGCAGUCGGAGGAAAUCAACUUGAAAAAAACAAUUUCUUAUCUAAGAAGACUGUCAAAGGUGUCAGAAAGGAGUUUGAAGACUUGUUAAAGCAAGGCAUCAUGCUAGUUGUUCUGGUGAAUGCAGAUUGAACUGAUAAGGAAGACAGAGACACUUCUCUACUUGUUAGUAGAGAAUAGAAAAGUUUAUGCCUGUCUCUGGGCCCCAGGGGGACACUUUAAAGAACUUAUGUGUGAUUCUUGAAAGAAAAAAAGAGUUAGAAAAUAAGAUGAGAUGGGGAUCUGAGGAAAGGAAUCAGGGUUUCUAACAUGAAUCCCUGAAUCAAGAUGCAAUCACAGAAUCAGCACUUUUUAGUUAAAACUAAUACCUAGCGACAUGCAUAUAUUGAUAAUUUGUUAUCUUCCUCUCUAUUCUUUACAUUGCAUUCCUGUUAUCUGCACUGACAUGGCAUUUUACUCCUACCCUAAUAGGUCAAUGAGAUUAGAAAUACUAAAUUUUUAAUUAAGCUCGUGUUCAUACAAUUUAUUACAGAUUGACAAUCAUACUGCAUCAUAUAAUUAGCCAGAAGAAAUGGUAUAUAUAAAGCAGAGAUGCUCUUUGCUGCAAGAAUUUUCAUGAUAUAUAUCUAGGAAUAAGUGGGAUCAUUAAAUUUUUUGUCAGUACAAAUGUCACUACAGAAAAUCUGAAAGUCAUUUUUAAAGGGUAUAUAAUCACUAUUUACCUUUUUGGGCCUGUCCUCAAGUUACUCAAGGUUCAAAGGCCUUAGGCCAUAAUACUUUUGCAAGAAAAUGUUUAUUUGGCCCAUUUAUAAGCGUCAGACUAUCCUCACUUAGCAAGUUCCCUCAGUUAUAUGACAACCAUACUGCUAUCUCAGUUUUCCCCUUAGCAGAGGAAAUAAUAGAGGGAUGUGGCUGUUAGUGCUUAUCCCAGUUAGAACUUGUUUGCUCUUCAAGGCAUAGAAUAUACAGUAAAGAUGUGUAUGUGCUCUAGGAAAAUAGUAGGAUAUUUUUUCAACAGAUGGUGUUAACCUCAUAUAGGGAAACCUAGAACAUGUUGUACAUUGCAGGCAACCCACUACACCACCAGCCCUUAAAGAAGAAAUUGAAAAUGCAUGUGCAGCAGUCUCAAUGACAAACACCAAUUCACUAUACUGAUACAUGUCUGGAAGCUAACGACCACCACUUUGAACACCUCUUGUAAUUAUAGAGGCCAAAGGAUUCACUGAUAAAGGUUAAAAGACAUUUUUCUAAGUGGGAAAAGAAUACAUGCAGUGAAGUGGUACAUCCCUUGGCUUCUGAUCUUCUCAAGCUGAUUCUGUAUGUAUUUCCCUGUGCUUAAUAUCUGCAAAAUAGCUGCAGGAAUAGUUAUCUGUUCAAUUGGGGAAAAGAAAUCCCAAAUUAGUGCCCUUGCUCUUUGGCAAAAAUAGUAAUUGUUCAAAAAUGUAAUGAUAAGCCAUUCAUGUUCUGUAGAGUUAAUAUUCCAAAUGCAAUACUAUACAACAUAUCACAAGAUUCCUGUAUACUCUAAUAUAUAAUAUAUAACAUCAUAAAGUAUAAGAUUAUAACAAUAUAACAUAUCAUAAGACAAUAAGCAUAAAAUAGCAUAAGAUUAUAAUGGAGCUGAAAAGUUUCUUGCCACUUAAUGACUCUCUAGCCAUCAUAAUAUAGUGCAAAACAUUACUCACACAUUUGUGGUGAUGCUGGUUUAAACAAACCUACCAAACUACCAGCUACAUAAAUGUGUAUGUAGCAUGUUUAAAUAUGUGCAUGCAGUACAUGAUAUUUGAUGAUAAUAACAUGUUCUUGGUUUAUAUAUUUACUAUACUACAGUUUUACUAUUUUCAAGUAUACUCUCAUUUAAAAGAAAAAGCAAAACUUGUCCACAAAGCACUAUGCCAUGUCGCACCAGCACAGCCUCCUACAUCUCGAAUUACCACAUCUCCUAAUGUCACGUCCAGCGGUGGGGCCAAAAGCACCCAGGUUUGUGCAAGUGCACUCUGGAAGUUCACAAGACGAUGUUGUUGUCUGCUGUUGCCUUUCUCAGAACUUAAUAUAGUCAUUAAACAACACAGACCUGUAACUCCCUGAAAAGCACUUUCAGUUCUCCCUGUCUAUGUCUUACCCCCUGCAGUUUGGUAGUGGCCCCCUAUUUGCCACCAUAGUCUCCUCUCUUUGCCAAAUCUUACCCUUAAGGAAAGGAACUAAGAGUAGGAUAAUCAUAUGAUUUAUCAAGAUUGAAGAAGGAGUUUUAAUAACUACUCUGGGACAGUAAGCAUAAAAUGGCAUUAUUUGUCCGGGAACUUAUUCCUGCUCUCCCUGAGAACAAUAAGAUGUGUGUGGUUGAUGACACAUUACAAAUUUAACCUCUGUAAGUGAUUUUCAUUAUAAUAUCUGAAAGCUCUAAAUGUAAAGAAUUACCCCCCCCCUUGGAGGUCGAACUUAGGGGUUAAACCUGGGCCUUAGAAGCCCCCACUAAUGUGUUUAAGUGAUAGAUUUUCAAGAAUCAAUUACUAGGUGAGAAAAUCACUAGAGUCAGAGAAUGCAAAUAAAAGCCCUAAAAUAAAGAUAGUUUAGUGAUUUAAUCUCCUUAAAUACAAGGGUGGCUUUGUCUACUAGUUUAGUGCUUAUCUUCACCCUUAAAUGUCUUCAAAAUUAGAAAUAUAAACUAUACUGUAAAUAAUGGAAUGCACAAGAUAAUUGUAUAGGUUGGGUUUUGGGGAGGGGAGAUGCCCAUAUGCACAAACAAAUGAGUCAUUUUUUAGUUCAAAUUAUUUAUUAAUUUAUUAUCUACAACCCCGCAAAAUAUCUUUAGUGACUGGAUUUUCCUUUUAAAAUGACAAAUGGUAUGUCUGGUGGUUUUCAUGCAUCCAGUGAAUACUUUUUGCUUUAUUGUCCUGUAUUUUCAUCCUGAGAUUUCUUCUUGUAUUUCUGCAUUUCGGAAGGAGAUGGCAGUAUUGAGCCUUGGCCCUCAUCUGAGGUAACUCUUUGAGAGUUUAAAAUCCUCAGUAGAAAAGUAUCAUUUUAACCAAAGUCAGCUCAUCUCCUGGGAUUUCACUUUCUACCCUUCUCCCUUUGGUAUUCCAAGUGAAGAAUGAGUGUGCUGCGAUAUUUGUUGUAUUAGAUUUGUGAUACUAUUGUAUUUGUUAGCCUCAUUUCUACACAUUUCUAAGAAUGCUGAUUUAAGAGGCAUACAGACAAAAACAAAAGAAAAACAAAACCAAGAAACCUUCUAAAAUAGGAGGGCCAGCUCUGAGAUGUAAAAGUAUGUUUACGAUGUGCUUGUUUUCCUAAGGCUUUGACAGGAAGAAUUAACUUUACAAUUCCAGCACAAAAACACUUUCCUAAGCCACAUCUUUUAGUAAGUAAACUGUUCUGUGGGAAUAAGUCUCCCCCUUUUUGUUUUAGCACAAUGGGCUGCUACUAAGAAAAUGACUUUUUCUAGGGCUGAUGCUUUGAAAAAAAAAAAAGUAAGGACGAUGAGAAAAUUCUUAACUUAGUUUUCAUUCACAUCUACUGUUCUGCUUGCAUUCCAGAUUUCCAAAGGGUGAUUCAUGUAUUCUUUAGCUGUAUGUUGAAAAAUAAAAUAAGUACCAAUGCUCUUUGUCAUUAUCAAAAGUAAUUAAACAGUGUGCUUUUAAGGCUAUAAACUGUGGGAAAAAUAGAAUACUGCCAUGUAAAGUUGUUGUUGUUGUUUUUUAAAGUGUAAGCCUAGAUUAACAAACUAACCUGCCUUGUAAAAGGAUCUGAAUCUACAGUUGGAAUGGCACCCAAUUCUUUGAGUUAUGUUUUGCAAAGUUGUCCUGCCAUGCUUAAAAUAUGUAAAAGAAAUAUUUUAACAUGUGAGAUUAUCUUUAAAAUCUGGACAACUAAAUCACAUAGAAAAAGAUGGGUAAUUGUUCAGUUUGAUUAUCAGAGAUAGUGGGAUUUUCUUUCAUACUUUCACUUUUGUAUGUUUAAAAUUAUUGUUGAAAUGUUAUAUGACAAAUAAUUUAUGGUUAUAACUAAGCUAGCAAGCCUAUUUGGUUUCCAUUAUAAGUGAAGGACCCAACAACAACAUCUUCAUUUCAUAUUGUUCUGAUAAAUUUAAUGACAUUAUUUUUUUUUUAACCAAAAGGAAAUUUCUUCUCAGCUGGAUUCUUUCAUUGUAGGUUUUAAUCGCAAACUUUGAAAAUGAGAACAUAGCUAUUAUUUUUUAUUAAAAGGAUAUGUUCUGGUUAGUUUGGAAAGGUCUGACUAGUAAGGGCUUCCAAUAGCAUGUCCAAGAAUUUAAAAUGUAAUCCUGAAAUUAGAGAAAGUAACAUAUGCUUUUUGGUACCAGUGUAUCUAAAGUGUUGUAAGAUGCAUACAAGGCAAAUGUCCAGGCAUUGUAGGAGACUUAUUAAUUUCACAAAUUCUAAGUAAAAGUAGGCUGAUUAAUAUCAGCUGCACUGGAUAGCACAUAGGUGUGGACAUUCAGUACUGAGCUUAUCCUGAGACAGGUAGAAUAAACAGGUGUGUUUUGUACCAUGAAAACCAAAGCAUGAUGUUUUACAUGUAACAUGUACUUCCUUCCUUAAUUUUUGCUUAUUAAGUUUGUGACUACCCUUGCUCAGUAUUUAGAUUUUUAAAAUAAAGCUUCUCCUUUAAAAAACUGUUUGGAUUUGCUGUUUUCUUUCUUUCUCUUUUUUUUUUUUUUUUUGGUACCUGGAAUUGAACUCAGGACCCUAUGUUUGCCAUACAACUGCUGCCACUGAGUCGUAUCCCUUUGAAUUUCUUUCAUGUCUUUGUCUGAACAAGUUCUGUUACAUAAAUCUUCUUAUUCAUUUUUAUGAAUGUUAUUUUAUAAUAGGUAUCAUUUAUAUUUGAAUUUUUAAUGUUUUUUUAAAUAGAAGAAAUAUUUGGAACCUUUUAAAUACCUUAACUGAAGAGCUAAAUAAAACAAGUGUAGUAUCUGAAGCAUUCAUUGGUUUUUAGCUCAAUUAAAAUGCUUCAGACUUCUCUAGAUGAAAUCUUAUACUAGUGUAGACUGAAGCAAUUCAUUUAACCUGAUGUUUCAGUCAUGCUUUAGUUAAAUCACUAGUAUUUUAUUUAUCUUUUAAAUAUCUUUGAGGCUGAAUGCUGUUAUCAGCAGAAUCUCCAUAACUUUUUUCUCCAUACCUUGAGUAGGCAUAUAGUAAAAUCAAAUACAUUUUCCUAACCAUAGGUGGAUUUCUAAGAGGAGGAGCAGCCACUGUUAGGAACAUGCACUUGUUAGUGUUCCUACAUAAAGUAAGUAAACCCUGGGGAGAGAGCCAUUCAGGAUUAUGCAAUAAAACCAUUUUUUCUCUUUCUUACCAUUUUUUUCUUGUGUCUUUCACACAGGGACAGGCCUCAUGUACUUUCACUGUCAAUGUGUGAUUGUUACAGAAAAUACAUUCUGCUUGCUGUGUAUUCAUUAAAGUGUUCAUUAGGCUCUUCUACAAAUGAGUGGUGAAGAGGAGAAUGGACAAGGGCCUGGUCCUGUUUUCAAUACUCUGUAGCAUCAAUUCUUGGCAAACUUCAGUGGGACCUUGGCAGGACUGCCCUCAGAGACCUGGGCUUCAUUAUGAUGUAAUAUGAUCCCCAUCUGUGUAGUAAAAGGUGAAUUAUCACCACGAGGUCCUCAUUCCAGCCUGAGUUUCAUAAGAAGAAAAGUAGCUUCUACAGGAUGAACAUAACCUGAAAUACUUACAUUACUUCCUUUCAUAGCCCACUGGCUGGGGCUGUGUGAUAUGAUUAUGCCUGGCUGCAAAAGACUCUGGUGUCUUCAUUGUAUAUUUAAUAUGAUUUGUCUGUAGAUGCUAUGUUUUUGCAUUUGAGAAAUCAGAGAAUAUGAGGAUACUUUCAUGCUGGAAAGGUCUGUGGAUUUCCUAUUUCAAAUGAAUAUGCUGGAUACACCAGGACUGAUACUCACCUGUUCUCUGUAAGCCAAUUAGACCUCAGAUUAUGUCGAGAAGAUUUAGUCAACCAUAUGACAGUUUUGCAAUGUAAAAAAGAAGCUACAAAGGGCCAAAGAUAUGCGUAAUUUCUCCCAUUAUUUUCCAUUUUGAGUUGUCUCAGAAAUCAAGACCGAAUCCAGGUGGCUUCUGGGCAGUUAAUGAGAAUUAGAGGUAAAACUAACUUCAAGUAGUUCAUUUAACUACAUGGCAUUACUCACUUUCCCAAGCAAGUAAAGAUACAAAUUUAUUUCAGAAUUCCGAAAUUGCAUUUAUAUAUAUCUUGGUUUUGUAUUUCAUUCUCGUGAUUAACAUCAAAUUUCACUGGACCAAGAAACUAAGGCAGUGCUGUACAAAUACGGCUUUUUGUAUUUGGGUUUCUUCCCUUGUUCUUUUCUGUCCCUAUUUCCUGCCUCUCCACAGUCUUUGUUUCCCUUCCUCUUUCCCUUCCUUCAUUCUUUCUCCCUCCCUUCCUUUUACUCUUCCUCUUUUCUGAAACCUUUCCAUUCUUUUUCUUGUUUUCCUAGGGAUUUAUUGCUUCAUUAAAGCAAGGUUCAUUGUUAUGUCAUCAUGUUCCUUCCAGAAAGCAAUAUAAAAGCAUUCAUCAUUGUCUUUAUUGUCUUAGUCUGAAGUCCUUUAUAAGCUCUCACAUUCACAGGAUAUAUUGCCAUACAAUCUACAGUGUUCUAAAUUUCAUGAGGUUCAACUAAUUGAAACUUCUUGGGUUAUAGGGAAGGGAACAGUGACCCAAACUCUGCUUUUGUAUAGUGGGACAAAUACAAGAAAAAAAUGAACGCAAGAUUUCUAACCUUAUUUUCAAUCACAGAUAUGAAUACAUUUGGCGGGGGGAGGAGGGGUUUUACCAAGAAUAGAACUCAUGACCUUGUGCUUGCCAGGCAGGCACUGUGCUGCUGAGCUAUAUCUCCAACCCAUGAAUACAUUUAGUGCAGUGACAUAUUAAAAGAGAAUAAAGGAAGUGCAUAUUGUAAUGAAAUUGCUGUUAUGGUAAAAAAUUAGAAUGUAGAGGAGCGAAUGGGUGCAAAUCAGAGAACAAAAACUUGAAAACAGGAAAGAUACAAAAGCUAAAGAGAAUACAUUUACCCAUUUUAGAUGUUAUUUUUUCUACUAUUUUUGUGAAUUUCCAGACUGAAAAUUCAAAACACAGAGGAACACACACACACACACACACACACACACACACCCCAGAUAGGGUUCACAUCCUUUAGUUCCCAACAUAUAGAAGAUUUUUUUUCUGAAUUGGAGCUUACUACUAUGGUAGCAAGAUCUCAUUGUACUUUUUCCUUUGUAAAAUGAAUCUGCAGUUUUUCUUUCAAAUGAAAAACAUUUCAGAGCUAACCCUUUUAACUAUUUUAAAUAGCAAAACAGUUUAUUCUUUUUAUUCUGCUCAUUUUUCCUGCUUAAGUGGAAAUAAUGAGUCAACCAUAAAAUGGAUGUUAUUUAAUGAAAUUAGCAAAACUUCCUUUUCAAGUUUCUUGACAUAGUUUCUGGUUCAGUAAUAAUGGUUAAUAGUGACUUAAUGAUUUGUUUGUUUGUACUCCAUCCUGACACCAAGGUUUCUAUCAUAAAUGUUUGCUUUGGAAGAAUAAAAAAGGAAUUAUGUACUAAUGAGCAGUGAGUCCGUUCACGAGGGUAAGGCAGCCACCUUUGUGCACUGCAUGUGAUGGAGCUUGAUACUUACAAAUUCCUUCUACAGCCAUCCACAUUUGCCAUUUUUCAAAAUAUCUUACAUUUACAUUUUCCUACAUAACAUCACAAUAAUACAAUAUUAGAAAGAACAUUAAUAUUCCAAUUUUACAUAUGGGAAAAUUAUGAACAAAAGUAUUUAGAGCCUUGCCUAUGAUAGAACAGGCCUUUUCUAACAGAUUGGCCCAGUAAUUUUUAUUUUGGAGACUAUUGGGAAUGACAGUGGAUACUGUCAUUGUGACAGCGGGCAUAAACUAGAACUUCCCAGGGAAACAGACCAGUUAUCACUGUUAUCCAUACCUAUAAGUAAUUCUCACUUAUUUCCACUUCCCUGUGACUCUCAUAUGUCCACAGUGCUCCUGUCAAAUGUGUAAUAUAUAUAUAAUUGUAUAUAUUUUAUAUAUAUGACUGGCAUUGUAACAUUUAUAUUUUUAUUUAUUGUUAUUAUUAUUAUUUUGUAUGAGAAUUGAAUUCAGGACCUUGCACUUCCCAGGUAGGUGCUGUGCUGCUGAGCUAAAUCCUUGGGCCACAUUUAUAUUUUUAGGUAUGAGUUUUUAAGUAAGUUACUUAGCCUUGCAGUGGUCAUUUCUCUGUAAAUCAGGAAUGAUGUCAGUACUAAAUUGUAGGGCAGUUAUAUGGAUAGAAUAAGUGAAAUGUUUGGAACAGUUCUUAGUCCUUACUAAAUAUUGUAUGUACUCAGUUAAUAAAAUAUGAGUAUUGGCUAUUAUAAAUGCUUUUUUAAUAUAGGCAAAUUAAAUCAACAUUCUUUUCACUAUGAAAGUGCUUUUCUGAAUUGAUUUGAAAUAUUAUCUACACUUUGGUAUUUUAUGAAUAUCUAUACUUGGAAUUACUUGUGCCUAUGCCAAUGUUAUUGGGUGACCCAAUCUCAAUAAUAACUUAAUGAUUUAUCUGUAAACAAUACGUAGCUUUAUUUGCAUUUGCAUGAAAAGACAGCAUUAUUGACUUAUUUCUCAUUUGGGAACAUCUUAACUGUGUGAUAAUAUGAUAAACUUCAUUUACCAUAGAAAAUUUACCAUUUUCUACAUACUAUAAAAUGAUCCCUGAAAGUAUAGUCUUAUCAUUUUCUAAAAUCUCCUCGUAGGAUCAUACUUACUUAUUCAGCUCUAGUCUGUUGAUGGACCUUUAUGUCUUUCUUUAAAAUAAGAAACCUCUCAGGAAAAAAAAAAAAGAAAAAGAAAAGAAAAGAGAGAGCGAGCGAGAGAAAGAUAAGCAAUUUCUGAUGCUUGACAUGUCUUGGUUUCUUCAUUUUAAUAAUUCAGGAUGCCCAAUUUCUUCUUUUGGGCCAGAUAAACUUUGUUUGUCCUGAUACUGGGUCUCCUUUUUUUAAGAUUGAAAAUGAAAUAAAAAAGCUCAGUCUAAGAUGGAAAGAAGGGUAUAGGAAGAUAUUUCUCCUGCAGUUAGACUGGUUUGAUAGCUUGUCCCUUAGAAUCAAUGGCCCACACUUUUAUCCCUAUUUGGGGACCUUAAACUACUAUUUUGUAUUCAAGAAGAGACCUCAUUGUCAUCUAGCCUUUUUUUUUUGCUUAGUCAGAUCACAUGUGACUGAAGGUAUUGAUGAUGUGAUGUCAGCCCUGUGACAUCAUUAUCUAAGGCCCUGUGAUGUUCAUUAUCUGUUCUGUAUGGUGUGUGAGUGACACUAGAUGCCAUGUCACCUGGAAUGUCUUAGCAGCAUGAGUGUUGUCAAGCCCAAGAACCACUUCCAUCCUUGUCUAGGGGAGUGAAAAUCUUCUCUCCUUUCAUGCAAAAUAUGUGGAUGAUUCCAAAUCCAACUCUUUCUUGUGUUCCAGAAUUGAAUUGCUUGAAUCUAGUGUCAGUAUCCUUGGCAUUGCUAUUUACCUUCCCUGGCCUUCAGAUUACAGGUCUUGUUUAAAUAGAAGAGUUAAAUUCCACCUGUGUUACUUCCUCAGUUUCACCUAAUUUUACCUCUGGAAUCUAUCUGAUAUUCUUAUGUUAUAUUUUCCAGCACAAAUAUUUAAAAAUGUAAGUGCCCCAAUAAUGAAACAAAGGAAAAUACAUUGAAUGGGUGUCUUUGGAAAUGCUUAUAAGUAAAAUAGUUAUGACUCUCACUUACAUACAGACAUCUUAUUAUCUAUCUGUCUCUGUGUGUCUUUCUUGAGUUAACUCGUAAGGAGGGAGAGGGAGGGAAGGAGGGAAAAAAGGUGGGAGGAAGGGAAGGAAACAGAAAGAACACGUAUAUGUUGAGAAUUUAAUGUGUAUUUUUAGGAACUGUGUUAAUGGGCAAGUGACUUCAUGAUUUAAUCAUCUUAGUUACCUUCUCAAAGACCUUCCAAGACCUCUUAAAACUAUUGAAUUAGGUAUUGAAAAUUAAUAUAUGAAUUUUUGGGAAAAAUUCAGAUUGUAGCAUUCCCAAAGCAAAUGUUAACUUAUGAUGAAAGUACUUUCCAACUACAGAAUGACUUUCUUUAAAAUCUUAAAUAUCCAGAUAUAUUUUCAAUAAAAUAACUUACAUGUUAUUAUUCUGGUUCCAUAGCAGAGUCAAACUACUUCAGGACCCUCCUCAGUGUCCUUUAUUGAAGUGGAGGAAAGUUUGUCCCUGGGUAUUGAUCUGUUACCUUAUAUGAUGGUUUACACUGACUGUAAUGGAUCGGUAUACAAUAUGUAGAAAGUCAGGGAUGAUCCUUUCCUCCACAUUUGCCCUUUCUUUCCCCUGAGCAGUAUGUCAAGCUUUUAAAUUUGCAGGAGUAGCGAUUUGGAGUUAUGGUCGUUCUGUCUUGCUUUGUAAAAGAUAUAGGUGGGUGAUAAAUACCUUGACAGCAUUCUGGUAAGCAGCAAGCUCUUGGCAGGUGUUUUAUGACUGAGUGAGUAACAAGAUGGCAGCUACUUCUCCAGUGUACUUACACUUCUUCACAUCAUCUGUCCAGAUGUUCAGUGGAUAGUAACAAAUGUAUAUCCUUCAAAUAAUAAUUCAUUGCUGCUUUAGUAAAUUAAAUUUAAUCACCAACAUAUAAAUCAUAAUUUGCUCCCCAUAUCAAUAUCUGAUAACUAAUUAGAGUUUGAUUUGAGGUCAGAUAUUGGAUAGGGUAUUUUAGAAAUGAGUCUUUCCACUGUGAAGUUUGGGAUUAGGGGAUAGCUAGGUUACCAUGAAGAUCCCAGUUGGAUAUCUAGAGCAUGAGGACAGAACAUUUGAGAUUUAAAGAGAGAAAGAAGAGCAUAGAAAAAAAGAGCCUGAUUUUUGGAAAGAUUUAAAUACCAGCUUUGUGUCCUGUGAGCUCUGUGAUGUUGGGCAAAUGACUCAAUUCCAAGCCUUAAUUCAUUUUUUAAUGUAGAAAAACGAUACUUGCUUGUCGAAAAAGUUAAAUAAAGGCACAUUUAGGCAGAGCUUCAAGCAGAGCAGUUGCUCCUUGAUGACUAUUUUUAUUCUGAAACCAAAACCAGACCAUACUUUGAACAUUGCUUAAAUCCCUGAUAGAAGCUCCUGUGGUAUUUAGAAUCCAUAGUAGGUUAAGAGAUCAGGACUCUUAAGUUUGGAAGACUCUAGGAAUUUGUUUGGAAGCCAGGAAUCAGAAACCUCAGCUGUACAUAAUUUAAUGAAUCCCUCUAAAUCUCUUAUCCCUUGGGGAGAGGAAGAGAUAUGCACAUCUUUUCUCUGAUUUUUCCUUUUCUUUUUACUAACUCUGAGGGUGGGAUAAAAUAUUUAUUACUUGCAAAGUGUUCUUUUGUAUAAAAUCUGAAAAGUAGAUUCCUACCAACAUGGAUACUCAGUUUUACCUGGAAGAGCCUUUAGUUUUCUCUGGUCACUAUGCGUAAAUAUUGCUGGAAUUGAUAAAUUAGAAAUUUAUUUUUUAUUGGACAGUAUUGUCUGAAUUGGACUUUACUUCCUGAGAGUACCCGAUAACACUUCAGGAAGAUAAUUAAGAUGAGUAAAAUGGUGGCACCCAGUUCUAAAUGUUUUAUUUGAUCAUCUUUCAAUUUUCAGGGUGGACAUAUUAUCACCCUUCUUAGUAUUUCCCCAGCCUUUCCAGGACUGACAGCACCACAGCUUGGAGAAGUAAAGGAGCAGGACACACCAGGGAACUGGAAACUGUGCACUAAACACUUUUUUUUAAACAAACAAUAUUUUCAGUCCUAACUUUAAUUCACACAUACAGUAAUGUCACAUGUUUUGCAAUAUUGAAACACAACCAUGCUCUGUGUAAUGAUCUGGUCAACAAUAGAUGCAUACAUUCCAGUGGUUCCAUAAGAUGACAUUAAAACAAAUAUUUUUAUAAUCCUGGGACAUUGUAGUUCUUGCUACAUCACCUAUUUGUGGCAAUGCUGUUUGUAAAGAAAUUUGUCAUGCUGCCGGUUUUAGAAAAGCUUGGGACAUGCACUUAUGUAUAGUGUGUAAUGCUUAAUAAUAAUAAACAUUUAUGUUAUAAUGCAUACUACGCUAUACUUUUAUCAUGUUAGAGUAUAUUCUUUCUACUUACUAAAUAAUUAUCACUAUAAAACAGUCUCAAGCAGGUCUUUUAGAGAGUGUUCCAGAGCCUUGUUCUGGAGGCCUUGUUACCCAGGAGAUGGGAGCUUCAGGUGUGUCAUUGCCCCUGAAGACCUUCAGGUGGAGCCAUGUGUGGAGGCGGUUUCAGUGAUAUUGAUUUUGACCUGGGUGGGCCAGGGCUAAUGUGUGUGGGUCUUAAAUUUUAAUAAAAAAGUUUAAAGAGUAGAAAAUAAUAUAAAAAUUGAAAAAACAGAAGAAAAGUGGUGCUGGAGAUGUAGCUCAGUGAUAAAACAUGUACUUUGAAUCCAUUGAGGCUCUGGGUUUAACCCUAGUAUUGCAAAAAAUGAAACAAACCAAUGAACUUAUGAAAUGAAGAUGCAAAGGAAUAGUUCUCUACAGCUCCAUAAUGUGUUUUAAGCUGAAUGAUAUUACAAAACAUUCCAUGCAUUUAAGAAGUUAAUAAUAUUAUAAAUUCAAGGUCCAGAAAACUAAUGGCAAUUUAUUAUUGACAAAAAGCCUUAUACAUUUAGCUUAAAUGCAGUGUUUAUAAGUCUCAGCGGUGUACAGUUAUGUCCCAGGCCUUCGCAUUCACUCCCCGUUUACUCACUGCUUUAUCAGGUGCAAAUUUCAGUCCUGCAAGCUCCAUUUAUGGUAAGAAGUUUGUACAGGUGUGCCAGUUUUUAAUCUUUUAUGCCAUAUUUUACUGCAUUUUUCUAAGUUUAGAUAUGUUUAGAAAUACAAAUAUUUUCUGCUGUGUUACAGCGGCCUAUAAUAAUCUGAGCAAUCAUAUGCCGCACAGAUAUGCAGCAUAGUAGCAACAGGCUGUUACACAGCAUCUAGGUGUGUAGUGUACUACAGCAUCUAGCGUUUUGUAAGUGAGCUCUCUGAUGUUUACACACAAUGAAAUUGUCUACUGAUUCACUUCUCAGAACAUAUAUUUAUUAUUAUAUAUUAAGCAACAUAUGGCUGUUUAAAUAUUAUUUUAAAAUUGGUAAAUUUCUUUUAUAUCUGAUCCAUUGUAUUCCUUGUGAAGUUGAUACUUUCACCACCCUCAUUUUGCAGAUAAACUGAAAAAAAAGGGGAGUUCAUGCAGUGUACAAUAAAUAAAAGUAAAACUGGUAGCAAAAAUAAUAAAGAGUAAGAUAAAAUAACCCACAAUUUAUUUCAUUUCAGACAACUCACAACUAACAUGUUACAAUUUUGCCACAUUUUCUAUUGUGAUAUAUAUGUAUAUAUAUAUAUAUGUGUGUGUAUAUGAAUGCUACUGUGUGUUUAUAAUACAUGUAUAUGCAUAUAUAUUUGUAUACAUGUAUUUCUUUUUUAUUCUAAAGAGGAAAAACAAAAGAAAAACAAAAAAGAGACAAACAAACAACUAUCAGAACAACAUAAAAACCCAAAGCAAUAAUAAUACAGGCUUUUAAAACAAUGUGAUAGGAUUGUAACAAUGGUUGUUAUAUUGCAUAUUGUUAGUGUCAAGAAUUGCUAGAUUAUCAGAUAUAGACAUAUUAAAAUGAUCAUAUUGUGUAAGUAUUGACUGUUCUUUUCUAAGAACUAGUAGAAUUAGUAGUAUAAUCAUCUUCUUAGAUUUCUUAUGUAUAAAUAUAUAUACAAAUUUUCUCUUCUUUUUUUUCUCCUUUCUUCUAUCCCAGUUAUUUUUCUUCUGUGAGCAGUGUUUUAUACUUUCACAAUAUCUAUUGUAGAUUUAGGAUCUUAUUUACUUGUUUAGUUUCUUAUACUAGGGAAACAAUAUUUGCACAUGUGAGUGUGAUUUAUUUCACUUUGAGUAUGUUCUCAAGUCACAUCCACUUACUUACAAAAACCUCCAUUUGAUCUUUCUUUAUAGCUGACUAGUAUGCCAUUGUAUAAAAAUACCACCUCUUUUUUAUGCAUUCCUUGGUUGAUUGGCAUUUGGAUUGUUUCCAAGAUUUGGCUAUUACAAAUUGUGCUGCUAUAAAGAUAAAUGCAUAUGUAUCACUGUGGUAUGUUUUCAGUUCUUCUGGGAAAAUACACAGAAGCAGGAUAGCUGGGUCAAAGUGGUAUAUAAUCCUAGCUUUCUGAGGAAACUCCACACUGAUUUCCACCAGUCUAUACUCCCACCAACAGUGGAGGACAGUUCCUUUUUUACCAGAGCCCCUUCAGCAUUUGUUAUUGAUUGAUUUCUUGAUAUUGGUCAUUCUUUCUGGAGUGAGAAGGAAUCUCAGCAUUGUUUUAAUUUGUAUUUCUUAAAUGACCAUUGAUAUUGAACGUUUUUCCAUAUAUUUAUUUUCCAUUUGUAUUUUUUCAUGUGAGAAGUGUGCAUUCACCUCAGGUGCCCAUUUUUGGGUUGGGUGUUUGAAUUUUGGGGGUCUGAUUUUUGUUUUAAUUCUUUGUAUUUUGUAGAUAAAAGUCUUUUGUCUGAGGGACAGUUGGCUAAGAUUUUUUUUUCCCAAUUUGUGGGUUUUCUUUUCACAAUGUUGAAGAUUUCUUUUGACAUACAAAUCUUUUUAAUAGAACAAGAUUUUUGAUUUUGGGAAGUAUUUCCUAUGCAGUUUGCUUUUUGUUUAUGAACUCUCUGCCUACCCUAUGUCAUCAAGAUGGCUACCUACUUUGUCUUCCAAAAGACUUAAUGUUUCUAUUUUAAUAUUUAGUUCUUUGAUCCAUUUUGACUUUAGUUUAGUGCAUGGUGAUAGACAUGGGUCUAGUUUUAGUAAUGAAAAGCCAGCUUUUCCAGCACCAUUUAUUAAAUAGGCUGUCUUUCUGCCAGUGAACAUAUUUGUCUCCUUUGUUGAAAAUAAAGUGACUGUGUUUUUACUUGUGGCUGUAUGUUGCAAUCUGUUCUAUUGAUCUUCAGGUCUGUUUUUAUCCAGUACUGUGCUGAUUUUAUUACAGUAGCUUUGUAGUAUAAUUUCAAGUCAGGAAUUGAGAUGCCUCCUGCCUUGCUGUUGUAGCCCAGAAUUGCCUGUGCUAUUCUAGAUCUCUUCUGGUUCCAUAUGAAUUUCAGGAAUGAUUUCUCUAGAUCUGUGAGGUAUGCUAAUGGUAUUUUGAUCGGAACUACAUUAAAUCUGUUUAAGAAUUUUGGAGAAAUGGCCAUUUUUAUAAUGUGUAUUCUUCCUGUCCAUGAGCAAGGAAUGCCUUUCUAUUUUCUGAAAUCGUGUUCAAUUUCUUUUCUCAAAGUGCUAUGAUUUCCAAUGUAUAGAUCUUUUACUUCCUUUGUUAGACUGAUUCCUAAAAUUUUAUUUUUGGAGAUGCUAUUUUGAAGGGUGUGGUAUUUCUUAUUUCUCUCUCAGUGAAUUUGUUGUUUGUGUUCAGGAAUGCAAUUGAUUUUUGAGUGUUGACUUUGUAUCCAGCUACAUUAUUGAAUUUGGUUAUUUCAGUGGAGUUUGGGGCAUCUUCUAUGUAGAAUAUGAUAUCAUUUGCAAAUAAUGAUAAUUUAACUUCUUUUCCUAACUUUAUUCCUUUUAUUUCUCUCUCUUAUUGCUCUGGCUAAUAUAUCUAGAACUGUGAUGAACAGUAGUGAUGGAUAAUGGACAUCCUUGUCUUAUUCUUGAUUUUACGUUGAAAGCUUUCAGUUUUUGUCCAUUUAGUAAGUUGGUUUAUCAUAUAUGGCUUAUAUCAGAUUGAGGUAAAGACCAUAUAUUCCAGUUUUCUAUAGGACUUUUAUCAUAAAUGAGUGUUGGACUUUAUCAAAGCUUUUUCUGUAUCUAUUGAGAUGGCCAUGUGAUUCUUGAUUUUGGCUAGAUUGAUAUGGUAUAUUAUGUUUAUUGACUUAUAUAUGUCAUUGAACCAUUCUUGCAUUCCUGGAAUGAAUCCCACUUGAUUGUGGUAUAUAAUCUUCUAAAUGAUUUGCUACAUUCUAUUUGCCAGUAUUUUAUUGAGGAUUUUUGCAUCUGUGUACAUUAGGGAGACUGGCCUGUAAUUCUUUUUUGGUUGGGUCUUUCUCUGGUUUUGGUAUUAGGGAAUACUUGCUUCUAGGAAUGAGUUAGGGAUAAUUGCCUCUCUUUCAAUGUAUAAAUGUAAUUCAAUGCAAAUCACAUAUAUAGUUUUGCAUUCUGCCUUUUAAAUUUACUAUUAUGCUGUGAGGCUGCUUAAAAUCUUUUUGUUUUAAUUUUAUUUAAAGAAAAAAAAACAGUAAAAGGGUACAAGUAAUACAGAAUUUAAAAAAAAUAAACAGUAACAAAUCAUGAGUUAAUAGAUUACAUAUUGUCAUCUUGGAAAUAGUUGUUCAAGUUACAAAAUUAAAGCAAACAAAGUGGACAUUCAAACAGUGAGACUGCAAGCAGUUGUGUUCAGUGGUCCAACAAAAACUUUGUAAUAUGGUCAUCUAUUUUACACACCUAAACAUACUUGCAGUUGUAUCCUUUAGAGCACUUUUCCUCUCUUUUUUAUAAUAACAGUUACACAUUUUGGGUUUUAUUACUCCCACAGUUCUCAUUACUUUUUUUUUUUUUGGAAGAGAAUAAAACCCAAUGUGACAAAACAAAGCAGUCGGUCAAAACAAAGGAUGAACAUAGUACAUGAUGUAGAAACAGAAUAAAAGGUACUCAACAAUGGUUACUAUAAUGCCUCUUGCUACUUUAAAAAGAAUUGCCUAUAUCAUCAGGUAUAAUAAAAUUGAGCAAAACCAAUAAAACCUAAACAUUGAAGACAUUACAGGACUUCAAAAGAAGAUAAUGGUCAAACCAGAAUGGGCAUCAUAGUGAAUCUUAUUGCCUUCAAAGUAGUUACCUAUACUCUCAAACUUGAUACUAUUUAACAGAACAGAAUAGAGUAAAAUCAGUCAAAACAAGAUGGUGAGAGCAAUACAGGGCUUCAAAUCAAGUUAAUAGGAAAUCAAAAAAGUUACUAUAAUAUAUCCUGCUAAUUUAAAAAAAAUUUUCCCUUAAUUAAAAAAAUAAUAAAAAAAUAAAUUUUAAAAAAGAGGGAGAUUGAGAUAAAAGAGGACAUAACAACAUAACAAUACAGGUCAGAACAGAACAAUUUAAGCAAUACAGUAUUUCACCACAAGAUAACCUGACUUAAAUAGUAGUUACCAUAGUGUCUCUUUCCUUGAAUUAUUUGAGUAUAACUUCGUAUACUAUAGCAUCAAACAUAUCAAGACAGUCUGAAACAUUCAAGAGGAUGAAAGUAUUACAGGGUAUUUAGAACCAGCUAACAGAAAACGAACAGUGAUUUCUAUAUUAUGUCUUUGUCUAUAAAAAUUUUUGUUUAUACUAUCACAUAUAAUAAAAUCCAAUAAGAUACAACAUGAUAAAACCAAUGGAGACAGAAGAACAACAGUUUGUUGGGGCUUCAAAACAAGAUGAUAUUAAAUAAGCACUAGCUAUUGUGAUGUCUUGUUUUCUUCAAAAUAGCUGUUCAUGUCAUCACAGACAAUAAUAUGAAACAGCCCAGAAUAAAACCAUUCAAAUUAAUGAGUGAAAACUUUAUAAGGCUUCAAAGCCACAUAAUAGGAAAUCAUGAUUACCACAUACUUUUAUGUAUUUGUAUCAUUUCUUACACUAGGGAAACUAUUUGGUAUUCAUACAUGUGAGUUUGAUUUAUUUCACUUAUGAGUAUGGUCUCAAGCUACGCCCAUUUAUUUAUAAAUAUUUCAAUGUGAUCAUUCUUUAUAGCUGAGUAGUACUCCAUUGUAUAAAAAUACCACAACUUUUUUAUCCAUUCUUCAGUUGAUGGACACUUAGGUUGUUUCCAAGAUCUGGCUAUUACAAAUUGUGCUGCUAUAAACAUGGGUGCACAUAUAUCACUGUGGUAUGAUGCUUUCAGUUCUUCUGGGAAUAUGCGUAGAAGUGGAAUAGCUGGAACAAAUGAGAUUUCCAAUCCCAGCUUUUUGAGAAAUCUCCAGACUGACCUCCACAAUGGUUGCACCAGUCUACACUCCCAGCAAAAGUGCAGGAGAGUUCCUUUUUCCUCAUAAGACUGCUUAAAAUCUUUGCAAAGCAUCGUUUAUAAUCCAUUGUGUAGUUGGGAUGGUGGUGCAGAAUUAUCAUCCCAGAAUUUUAGGAGGCUGAGGGAGUAGGGUUGUAAAUUGAAAUCCAGUCCAGGCAGCAUAAGAAUUUAGUGAGAUCUUGUCUCAAAACAAAAAAGGAUUAGGGAUAUAGUUUAGUGUGUUGACCUUGGGUUUAUUGUCCAAUACUGAAAACAAUAUCUCCUGCAUGAUUCUAAAGCUUACUAUACCCUUAUUCUAUUAUAAACACUUAAUUUUUCAAAAAAUUAAAAUUAUGAUGCUAUUGACAUAAUAAAUCCUAUUAAUCUGAGUAUGAGUUUAUAAAAGAUAUCUGAGAUUUGAAAGCUUAGGGUGGCCUCUUCAUUCACUGGCACCUCUUGUGACGAAUGGUUUUCAUUGUUCACAAAGGCCAAGGUUAGCAUUACAUCUUGAAGCCUUAUAAUGGGGGACAGACUGACUUGUAGGAGAUGGCUUCAUGACCUUGGCCUCAGAAACAUUAGUGUGCUCCCAUAGAGUCAGAUAAGCUUGAAGUGGAAAAGUAAGAGAGAAGAAAAAAUGAAAACAGACAGUGUAAAUAGUAAAAUACUUAAGGGUUAAAGAAAAGAAUAGCUUUCUCUGUUUUGGGAGAAAUUACAGAAGUGAGAGUGUCUGAUCAUUUAGUAAUUAUGUUUUGCAUAAAAAUUUCAUACCAGUUUAGCCUUGGCAGUUUUAGAUCAGAUUAAUGUAUUGCUCACAACACAAACUUUUUACAAAAGUAGUAUAUCCAUUAAAUAAUUAUAUUAGAUCACUUUACUUAAUUUCUUUGUUUAUAUUUCCUCAUUAAGUUGGCUGUCAGUAACAAGAACAAAAAGUCUAGGAGAUACAGAGAAUGCUAAUAAAAGCAUAUAAAAGCUAAUAAAAGAGUUCAUUUAACUCUAUAUUUCAGGCACUUUUCUUUUUAUGCAUAAUGUCUGUAGUAUAAACAUCAUGUAUAGGUUGCAAUCACUCAAUAGUAAGUAAUUAUUUUGCUUAUUUGCUUAAA